RNAcentral lists this ribosomal RNA (459 nucleotides) under uncultured bacterium. RNAcentral describes it as "partial 16S ribosomal RNA". It matches the Rfam family "Bacterial small subunit ribosomal RNA", at positions 338 to 795 of the family's 1533-position model. The record is from RNAcentral.
CCUACGGGGUGCAGCAGUGAGGAAUAUUGGUCAAUGGUCGGGAGACUGAACCAGCCAAGCCGCGUGAGGGAUGAAGGUACAGAGUAUCGUAAACCUCUUUUGUCAGGGAACAAAGGCGGGGACGUGUCCCCGGCUGAGUGUACCUGAAGAAAAAGCAUCGGCUAACUCCGUGCCAGCAGCCGCGGUAAUACGGAGGAUGCGAGCGUUAUCCGGAUUUAUUGGGUUUAAAGGGUGCGCAGGCGGUCUGGUAAGUCAGCGGUCAAAGCCCGGGGCCCAACCCCGGCCCGCCGUUGAAACUGGCAGUCUCGAGUUGGAGAGAAGUAUGCGGAAUGCGCGGUGUAGCGGUGAAAUGCAUAGAUAUCGCGCAGAACUCCGAUUGCGAAGGCAGCAUGCCGGCUCCACACUGACGCUGAGGCACGAAAGCGUGGGUAUCGAACAGGAUUAGAUACCCCAGUAGUC